RNAcentral lists this non-coding RNA (975 nucleotides) under Cynoglossus trigrammus. Its description in RNAcentral is "12S ribosomal RNA". It matches the Rfam family "Bacterial small subunit ribosomal RNA". Lineage: Eukaryota; Metazoa; Chordata; Actinopteri; Pleuronectiformes; Cynoglossidae. The record is from RNAcentral.
CAAAGGUUUGGUCCUGACUUUACCAUCUGCUAUAGUUAUUUUUAUACAUGCAAGUAUCCGCCCACCCGUGAGAAUGCCCCUGCUUCCACAGAGGAAACAGGGAGCUGGUAUCAGGCACACUAACCAGUAGCCCACAACACCUUGCUAAGCCACACCCCCAAGGGUAUCAGCAGUAAUUGACCUUAAGCAAUAAGUGAAAACUUGACUUAGUAAUAACUAACAGUAAUUGCCACUAUGCAAUUACUUCAAGGCCGGUAAAUUCGCGUGCCAGCAACCGCGGUUAGACGUACAUAGGCCUAAGUUGAUGGACCACGGCGUAAAGAGUGGUUAAGGAACCUCAUAACUAAAGUUAAACCGCCCCCUAAUUGUAAAAAUUUGCGGAAGCGUGAAACACAACUACGAAAGUGACUUUACUAACCUGACUCCACGAAAACUAGGGUACAAACUGGGAUUAGAUACCCCACUAUGCCUAGCUGUAAACAACGAUAUUCCUAAAUUCAAAUAUCCGCCCGGGAAAUACGAACAUUAGUUUAAAACCCAAAGGACCUGACGGUGCUUAUACCCCCUAGAGGAGCCUGUUCUAUAAUCGAUAAUCCCCGUUAAACCUCACCCUCUCUUGUCAACCACAGCCAGUAUACCUCCGUCGUCAGCUUACCCUGCUAAGGCCCAAAAGUAUGCGAAAUUGGUACUCAUAGCCCAAAACGUCAGGUCAAGGUGCAGCUUAUGGGAGGGGAAGAAAUGGGCUACAUUGGCUAACAUAGUCUACCACGAAUAACAUGAUGAAACCUCAUGUAUUGAAGGAGGAUUUAGUAGUAAGUAAAAAAUAGAGUGUUUUACUGAAACCGGUCACUAAGCGCGUACACACCGCCCGUCACCAUCCCCUAUACUUUUUUAAUGAUAUAACUAAUACACUAUCACGUACAAAGGGGAAGGAAGUCGUAACAUGGUAAGUGUACCGGAAGGUGUACUUGGGGC